GAUGAACGCUGGCGGUAUGCUUAACACAUGCAAGUCGAACAGUCUUUUCGGAGACAGUGGCGGACGGGUGAGUAACGCGUAAGAAUCUACCUUCAGGUCGGGGACAACCACUGGAAACGGUGGCUAAUACCGGAUGUGCCGAGAGGUGAAAGGCUUGCUGCCUGAAGAAGAGCUUGCGUCUGAUUAGCUAGUUGGUGGUGUAAGAGACUACCAAGGCGACGAUCAGUAGCUGGUCUGAGAGGAUGAUCAGCCACACUGGGACUGAGACACGGCCCAGACUCCUACGGAGGCAGCAGU
Molecule: ribosomal RNA, 297 nt
Filed under: uncultured bacterium
Lineage: Bacteria
Description: partial 16S ribosomal RNA
Rfam family: Bacterial small subunit ribosomal RNA
Source: RNAcentral